GGGGUGCUCGAGUGGCGAACGGGUGAGUAACACGUGAGUAACCUGCCCUUGACUUUGGGAUAACUUCAGGAAACUGGGGCUAAUACCGGAUAGGAGCUCCUGCUGCAUGGUGGGGGUUGGAAAGUUUCGGCGGUUGGGGAUGGACUCGCGGCUUAUCAGCUUGUUGGUGGGGUAGUAGCUUACCAAGGCUUUGACGGGUAGCCGGCCUGAGAGGGUGACCGGCCACAUUGGGACUGAGAUACGGCCCAG
RNAcentral lists this ribosomal RNA (249 nucleotides) under uncultured Actinomycetales bacterium. Its description in RNAcentral is "partial 16S ribosomal RNA". It matches the Rfam family "Bacterial small subunit ribosomal RNA", at positions 84 to 334 of the family's 1533-position model. Lineage: Bacteria; Bacillati; Actinomycetota; Actinomycetes; Actinomycetales. The record is from RNAcentral.